UGGUCUGGUAGAUUAUAAUAAAAAAUUUUAAAAAGCUGGAUUAAUUAAAUGUCCAAUUAUACGGAUAAGUUGCAACAACUGUAUAUUUGUUAAGAGGGGGUAUAUAACAGCAAACCAAAUACUGACAACAAGGGAUGAUUGGGUUUGGAACUCUGGCUGGUAGACAGAGGGGACUUGCUAAAUAACUAUUCAAUAAAUAAGCCAAAAUGGGGUUCUUGACAAGCUAAGAAUCCAACCACAGGAGAUCAGCACAAACAACCUGAAUGUCCAACAACAGGAUUCUUCUGUUAUUUUUUUUUCCCUGACAAAAUACAUGCAGGUUCCUUAACAAAAAUCAGAAAUCUAUAAAAUAUCAAGGACAUCCAUAAUGCCAUCCAUUCAAGCACAAUGAAUUUUAAAGGAUUUCUGUUUGAGCAAGGGAAAAAAAGUUUUAAAAAAUCCUAAAGAUAAACUAAAAUUCUUAAGUAACACAAAAUACUUCAUACUGUAGCAAAUUACCAAUACUAGAGACCAGAGAAUAGUCAUAUUGACAACCUUGCUUUAAAAUAAUUUUUUUUAGGCCAAAUUCCAUUCAACCAAAUUAUCUAGAGUCUGAUAAAAGUGGCAUUUUAAAUCAGUGGAGAAGAAAUAAUUAUUCAGUUAAAGAUGCUGAACUAAUUUCAAAUCCAUGGAAAAAAUUAAUUUAGAUAGAUACUUAUACACAGAAUUAAAUUCCAAAAUUAAAUAGUUAAGUAUAAAAUGUGAAAUAUAAAACAACUAGAAUAGAAACACAAGUAAAUAUCUGACCUUGCAGUGACAAUAUUUUUAGAAAAAUAAAAAUGAUGGAGAAUAUGUGUUAAAAUACAUAAAAAUGAAAAUAGUAUAUCUGUAAAAAAAUAAACACCACAUCCAAACCAAAAAGCAACCACAAGCAGAAAAAAUGAUUUACAAGGUAUUUGAUAAAGGGUUGAUAGGCUUAAUAUGUAAACCGUUCUUGUGCAUCAAUAUACAAAGAAUACAUAAUAAAUAUGAAUAUGCUGUUGUUGUUAGGUGUCAUCAAGCUGGUUCUGACUCAUAGUGACCCUAUAGGACAUAGUAGAACUGCCCCAUCGGGUUUCCAAAGAGCACUUGGGUAGACAUGAACUGCCGACCUUUUGGUUAGCAGUCGAACGGUUAACCACUGUGCCAUGAACAUACCCAUUGUUUUUUAUGUAAAAAAUACUGUUGCAGCAGCGUGAACCCAGGAUGUCUGAUUCUGGGCCCUAAGGUCAGGCCCAGGACUAGAGUGAGGUUUACACUUAAACACUGUGCCAGUAUCUCAACUCCUAAGAGAACAAAGCAGCUCUCCAGGUUUAUCAAGUAAUAUCCACUAAAAUUGCUACUCCUGAAAUUCUAUUAUUGUGAACUGUCAAAAACAUCUUGAAAUUAUUACUACCAAGUUAUAUAACAUACUUAUUUUAAAAAGACAUUUUUUUAGGCUGAACCACAUGGAAAUCACCGAUAUUCAAAGGUUUAUGAUACAUUAAUAUCAUAAAAUCAAAAUGUAGACACAAAUUAAACAUAAAACCCAUUCUCAGCAUGAAUAAACCCAAAACUGACAAUUUUCAACAAAGUAACAUUAUCUGCCACACAAAUUAAUGUAAUUACUUGAAUUUUAUUGGUUUUAUAGUUUUGUUGGCAUUUAUAAGUGCUUUAAACUAACAUUUACUCCAAAACUGAAUAUACUUAAGUAAAAUUGUGACAAAAAUAAUUAAGUCCAACUGGAAAUGAGGAUGUUUCCCUUGAAAAGGGCCCAUACAUUUCACAAGUUUGAGAACACUGUGUAUCUCCUAAAUUACACAAGCAUCCUAGCAUAAAACUUUAGAAAAAACAAAUUGCGAUCUUCUGCUCCCCUAUUUCACAAGCUUAGCAUUGAUGGGCAGUAGCCUAGCACAACCAUCAGGAAGAGGAAGAUGGCACAAGACAGGCCAUUUUUCACAUGACUUCACAGUCAAAACAAAUCGUUUAACCUUUGUGAGCCUCAAUUUCCUCUUCAGUAAAAUAGGGAUACUGAUUUACUUUUCAGGGUUACAGAGGCACUCUAGGUAAGAUAUCUAACAUAAAAUAAUACCUAACACUGUAUAAACAUUUUAUAUUCAUCAUCUCAAAAAACCUAUUACAACAACCACACUAUAUGAGGUAGGUACAGGCAUAUCCCUGUUUUGAAGAUGAUAAAGCUGAAGUGCAGAGAGGUUCAGUAAUUUGCCCAAGGUCACGUAGCUAGUAAGAGGCAGAACCAAGACCUGACCCCAAGGUUUACUGCCAGAAGGAAGCUGGUUUUCUUCUCCAUUUUACGAAACUACCUCAAUAAAUGGGAUUAAUUAUUUUGAUACUGAAGUCCACAGUUUACCAAGGUAGGAACACAGAAACAUUUUUUCUCUGAAACCCAGCUACAGACUUUCUACUACCUCACAGCCUGUGAGGCAGCCUCUGAGCCACUGAGGUCAUAAACCUUUAUUUUUGAAAGGCUUCAAAAUUCUAGCCAACAGCAGAGUAAACAUCUAUUUCCUCUUCUCAGGAUUCUACAAGGUCCCUCCCCCACCUUUCCUCUCUUUGUCCUCCUGUAGUUGAAGGGACUAGACUUAGCCACCAGGCACGAGUACACAGAGCUUAUGGGAAGGAGCCAGAACCACUAUCAUCACCAAGUUUGUUGUCCAGCUGAAAAACCACUUGGCUAGCAUUUCAAAGCUGUGACUCAUGCAGUAAACAGCAAGUCUCCCAGUUCUGCUUUCUGAGGAGGGCACAUUAAGUUUCAACAGCAUACACCAGUUUUACUGGAGUGAGUUUUCUAAAAAUGACUUACCACACCCUGCCUGAGUAAGGACCGCAUGAAACUGGUGAAAACGCUGAUCUCCAGAAAUACAACAAAGAUUAUUUCAAAUCUCACACUGUUCAUAUGAAGAGAAUGAGGCCCAAGGAAACAUAAGCCUGAAGCCCAGAUUACAAGAGACUACAAAGGGUAAGGAGAAACCAGAGAAUUAGCUAUACGGAAAUUGGAAUUAAAGUUCUACUCCUGCCACUAAGAAGCUGUUCAACCUUGGACAAGAGAAAAGUCUUACUCUCCACGUCAUUUCUGUAAAUUGUAGGAGAUACAAGAUGGCUGAAAUUCCUUCCAGGAGACCUGAGAGCACGUGACACCACCACCAACUUUAUUCAGCACCAUUCUUUUAAGUGAUUUGUAUUUGUAUAUGAUUUUAACAAUUACCUAGUUAUUAAGGACUAAAAGAGUUAAAGGGAUGAAGAAAGUUCUGACCAACACAGAAGAUUUCUCUCUUUCCAUUUCAUGACUAUUAUGCCAAACCACAGUAUACAGGGAAGUGACAAGGAUCCUUCAUCUCAUUUCACAAAUAGGAAAACAAAGGUGCUGAGCAGAAAGGCCAAGUGUAAAGUUAACAUCAAGUCCCUCAGGCUGCCCCUCAGCCUACAGUGCCUCACUGCCUGAGUUUAAUCAAAGCUCUAAAAGAACGGUAUUGGUAUGUAAAGCUUAAGAAAUUCUACACAUAUCCAAGAGAUGGAUAGAUUCUUUCCAGGAGCAAGAAAAGAAUCAGAGAUGUCACUGAGUAACACAAAAUGUUAUAACCAGAAAGGACAGAUUCCAGAUCAAUCUCUUCCAGGUAGAAUUCAUGCCCAUCUUUUACCUUAAGCCAAAUCAGAAAUGCUUUUUUUUUAAAUAUAUAUAUAUAUAUCACUAAAAGCCUACAACUUUUUAGGUCAAUAUUCCAGUCAAUCCUGGGCCUGCCAGGCCCUCAAGUGGUCAAGUUCCAA
Long non-coding RNA from Trichechus manatus latirostris (Florida manatee), 3783 nucleotides. RefSeq lists it as uncharacterized. NCBI's taxonomy places the organism in Eukaryota, Metazoa, Chordata, Mammalia, Sirenia, Trichechidae. The record is from RefSeq and is a predicted model, not a curated record. The transcript is spliced from 3 exons.